Molecule: ribosomal RNA, 450 nt
Filed under: Phyllachora cerradensis
Lineage: Eukaryota; Fungi; Ascomycota; Sordariomycetes; Phyllachorales; Phyllachoraceae
Description: SSU rRNA
Source: RNAcentral
UGAAUUCGAUGACCGCCAGAGCAGGGACCAUAUAUGGCCGAUGUAUAAUUCUAUGUGCAUAGCGCAUAUGACAAUAUGUUUAUAAGUCUUGACUAAUUACGUGCCACCAGUCCGGCAAUACGUAUGAAACGAGUGUUAUUCAUCUUUAAUAGGUUUAAAGGGUACUUAACGGUUUAAUUACCAAAGCGGUACAAUUAAUCUAAGUUUUAUAUAAAAGGUAUUACUCUUGAUGUAUGAUGAAAUACUUUGAUACCUUGGGGACUGGUAAAGGCGAAGGCAACCUUUUAUCUUAAAACUGACUCAAAGGACAAGGCUUAACACUAACGGGAUUUGGUACCCCAUAUCUUUGCAAAAAUUCUGAAUGUCAUAGUUAGUAAUAAUAUCCAGGCUAAGGGUGGAUGUUUAAUAUCUUCCACUUUAAUACAGUUGAUAACAUAUAAUACUAUGGUC